Molecule: ribosomal RNA, 490 nt
Filed under: uncultured bacterium
Lineage: Bacteria
Description: partial 16S ribosomal RNA
Rfam family: Bacterial small subunit ribosomal RNA
Source: RNAcentral
GAUGAACGCUGGCGGCGUGCCUAAUACAUGCAAGUCGAGCGGCAGCGCGAGUAGUUUACUACUUGGCGGCGAGCGGCGGACGGCUGAGUAACGCGUAGGAACGUACCCCAAACUGAGGGAUAAGCACCAGAAAUGGUGUCUAAUACCGCAUGUGCUCCACGGAGUAAAGCUUCGGCGGUUUGGGAACGGCCUGCGUCCGAUUAGCUUGUUGGUGAGGUAAAAGCUCACCAAGGCGACGAUCGGUAGCGGGUUUGAGAGGACGACCAGCCACACUGGGAAUGAGAAACGGCCCAGACUCCUACGGGAGGCAGCAGUGGGGAAUUUUGGACAAUGGGGGAAACCCUGAUCCAGCCAUCCCGCGUGUGCGAUGAAGGCCUUCGGGUUGUAAAGCACUUUUGGCAGGAAAGAAACGUCAUGGGUUAAUACCCCGUGAAACUGACGGUACCUGCAGAAUAAGCACCGGCUAACUACGUGCCAGCCGCCGCGGUAA